CACCGCGGUUAUACGAGAGGCCCAAGUUGAUAAAUGCCGGCGUAAAAUGUGGUUAUAUAGAAUUAAACUAAAGCUAAACAUCUUCAAAGCUGUUAUACGCACCCGAAGACAGGAAGCACUUCCACGAAAGUGGCUUUAUAUACUAUCACCCCACGAAAGCUAGGACA
RNAcentral lists this ribosomal RNA (167 nucleotides) under Eutaeniichthys gilli. RNAcentral describes it as "partial 12S ribosomal RNA". The record is from RNAcentral. Lineage: Eukaryota; Metazoa; Chordata; Actinopteri; Gobiiformes; Gobiidae.